RNAcentral lists this ribosomal RNA (253 nucleotides) under uncultured bacterium. RNAcentral's name for it is "partial 16S ribosomal RNA". It matches the Rfam family "Bacterial small subunit ribosomal RNA", at positions 524 to 776 of the family's 1533-position model. The record is from RNAcentral.
UACAGAGGGGGCAAGCGUUAUUCGGAAUUAUUGGGCGUAAAGGGCGCGUAGGCGGCUUGGCAAGUGGAUGGUGAAAUCCCUCGGCUUAACCGAGGAACUGCCGUCCAAACUGCUUUGCUUGAGACCGGGAGAGGUGAGUGGAAUUCCCAGUGUAGCGGUGAAAUGCGUAGAUAUUGGGAGGAACACCAGUGGCGAAGGCGGCUCACUGGGUCUUUUCUGACGCUGAUGCACGAAAGCUAGGGGAGCGAACAGG